CAAUAGCGUAUAUUUAAGUUGUUGCAGUUAAAAAGCUCGUAGUCGGAUUUUGGCUGAGAACGAACGGUCCGCCGUUAGGUGUGCACUGUUUGGUCUCAGCUUCCUGGUGAGGAGGUGUGCUUCACGGCCACUUAGUCACCGUGGUUACUUUGAAAAAAUUAGAGUGUUCAAAGCGGGCUUACGCUUGAAUAUAUUAGCAUGGAAUAACACCAUAGGACUCCUGUCCUAUUUCGUUGGUCUCGGGACGGGAGUAAUGAUUAAGAGGGACAGUUGGGGGCAUUCGUAUUUCAUUGUCAGAGGUGAAAUUCUUGGAUUUAUGAAAGACGAACUUCUGCGAAAGCAUUUGCCAAGGAUGUUUUCAUUGA
This 365-nucleotide ribosomal RNA is filed under the name uncultured eukaryote. RNAcentral describes it as "partial 18S ribosomal RNA". It matches the Rfam family "Eukaryotic small subunit ribosomal RNA", at positions 592 to 976 of the family's 1831-position model. The record is from RNAcentral.